CGAAGGGGGCGAGCGUUGUUCGGAAUCACUGGGCGUAAAGCGUGCGUAGGUGGCGAGGAAAGUUAGGAGUGAAAGCCCAGGGCUCAACCUUGGAAUUGCUCUUAAAACUCCCUUGCUCGAAUCUCGGAGAGGAUAGCGGAAUUGUCAGUGUAGCAGUGAAAUGCGUAGAUAUUGACAGGAACACCAGUGGCGUAAGCGGCUAUCUGGACGAGUAUUGACACUGAGGCACGAAAGCGUGGGGAUCAAACAGGAUUAGAUACCCUGGUAGUCCACGCCGUAAACGAUGUGUGUUUGUCGCUGGGAGGUUUACCUCUCGGUGACGGAGCUAACGCGUUAAGCACACCGCCUGGGAAGUACGGUCGCAAGAUUA
RNAcentral lists this ribosomal RNA (370 nucleotides) under uncultured organism. RNAcentral describes it as "bacterial SSU rRNA". It matches the Rfam family "Bacterial small subunit ribosomal RNA", at positions 526 to 896 of the family's 1533-position model. The record is from RNAcentral.